GAUGAACGCUAGCGGCAGGCCUAAUACAUGCAAGUCGAGGGGCGGCAUGUCUGUAGCAAUACAGAUGAUGGCGACCGGCAAACGGGUGCGGAACACGUACACAACCUUCCUUCGAGCGGGGAAUAGCCCAGAGAAAUUUGGAUUAAUACCCCCAUAGUAUAUCAAUUAGGCAUCUUUUUGAUAUUAAAGAUUUAUUACUUGAAGAUGGGUGUGCGGCUGAUUAGGUAGUUGGCGGGGUAACGGCCCACCAAGCCUACGAUCAGUAACUGGUGUGAGAGCACGACCAGUCACACGGGCACUGAGACGACGGGCCCG
This 315-nucleotide ribosomal RNA is filed under the name uncultured bacterium. Its description in RNAcentral is "bacterial SSU rRNA". It matches the Rfam family "Bacterial small subunit ribosomal RNA", at positions 28 to 334 of the family's 1533-position model. The record is from RNAcentral.